Molecule: ribosomal RNA, 750 nt
Filed under: Triticum aestivum (bread wheat)
Lineage: Eukaryota; Viridiplantae; Streptophyta; Magnoliopsida; Poales; Poaceae
Description: partial small subunit ribosomal RNA
Source: RNAcentral
AUGGUGUCGGACGCCAGCAAGAAGAAGGCGGUGCAGAAGAAGGCCGCCGCAGCCGCCAAGAGGGGCGCCAAGGUCCCCGCCUCCUCCGCAUCGUCUUCCGCCUCCAACAACAAGACGGGGGCCAAGGCCGCUGCCGACGCCCUCGCCGCCGUCCAGCUCGCGGACCGCACCUGCACCGCCGUCCUCACCUCCCACCAGCUCUCCCGGGACAUCCACAUAGAGUCUCUCACUUUAACAUUCCACGGCCACGAUCUACUUGUAGACACAGACCUGGAGCUCAACUACGGCAGGCGCUAUGGUUUGCUUGGUCUGAAUGGCUGCGGCAAGUCCUGCCUUCUCAAAGCAAUAGGGUGCAGGGAGCUUCCUAUCCCUGACCACAUGGAUAUAUACCACCUCAGCCAUGAGAUCGAGGCUUCAGACAUGUCUGCACUUGGAGCCGUCAUUAGCUGUGAUGAAGAAAGGGUCAAGCUCGAAAAGGAAGCUGAAGUUUUGGCUGCUCAAGAUGAUGGCGGUGGUGCAGCUUUGGAGCACGUAUAUGAGCGGUUAGAAGCAAUUGAUGCAUCCACCGCUGAAAAGCGUGCUGCUGAGAUUUUGUUUGGCUUAGGCCGAAAUGCUAGACAAUAUCCCUGUUUGAAGGGUGAUCCAUUAUCAAUGAAACUAGGAAAAAUGAACAAUGAUGAGCUCAUAGUUGUCAAUGAGUCAAUCGUUUUUAUUGUUUUUAAAAAAUGCCUUUCAAUUUUGCCAAGUUAA